Long non-coding RNA from Nicotiana tabacum (common tobacco), 846 nucleotides. RefSeq lists it as uncharacterized. The record is from RefSeq and is a predicted model, not a curated record. NCBI's taxonomy places the organism in Eukaryota, Viridiplantae, Streptophyta, Magnoliopsida, Solanales, Solanaceae.
UAUUAUCUAUUUCCCUCCUCUCACUUGCCAUCUCUCCUCUCUUUCUAACCCCUCUUUUAAGUUUCCUCCUCCUCCACUACCAUCACCAUGCGCCGCCGUCGGUGAUGCUCCAAACACCACCAAACGUUCACCCUUUCCUCGUCUCUUCAUCCUUUACUGAACCCCAAAUCUUCAAACUCCAUCUUAAUCUCCAUGAAUCUUCAAAAAAUGGAAACCCUAGCCGCCUAUUUUUCCUCAAAUUCGUCAAGUUUGAGACCUCAUCACUACUUAAUACCUAUAUGAGUGUGUAGUUCUUCCCCUAAUCUACUGUUCUUUCUUGGUUUGAAGUCGAAACUCUGGUGGCUAAAUUCCGGCAGGUUGCCGGUUACUUCUACUUUGGCUCGAGCAAGCCUUUUUUGUUGCUGAGUUCGUUAUUGGACUUCGGUUUGAUUGGAGUUGAUAGUGACGGGCCAGCAACAAGAAGAGAACGCCGACGUCAAAACUUCAUCCAUAACUGCCUGAAUCGCCACCACUGCCGCACCACCACUGUCUCGAACACUCGAGUUUCUGGUAAUUCGCUUAAAGUGCUACUAUAAUUUUGAGUUAAGAAUGAAUGGAUACAAAGCAAUUUGAGUUCUCUUCAGUUUAUUCUAAGCUUUUAAAAGCAUUUUAUUAAUUGUAAGGUUUAGUGUAUAAGCAUAUACAAUAAAUAGUUGCUUUGUUAUUGUGACUCGGUGUCACCUUUAUUUUUGUUUUUGUUUUUUUUUGUGAAGAAUCACCAAUGAAACAGCAAUGUACUGAUAUAGAUUCAAAUGUUUAAGUUGCUAUGUCUCAGUUUUAAUAUCAUAAAUUUCAGUUAAUGUUUAA